Long non-coding RNA from Poeciliopsis prolifica (blackstripe livebearer), 628 nucleotides. RefSeq lists it as uncharacterized. The record is from RefSeq and is a predicted model, not a curated record. The transcript is spliced from 3 exons. NCBI's taxonomy places the organism in Eukaryota, Metazoa, Chordata, Actinopteri, Cyprinodontiformes, Poeciliidae.
UUUGAAUUUACUAAGUGCAUCUUUCUUGGAAUUUGUCUGAUUUUAAACUUUCCACUGUGACACAGAAGCAACAUUAUGAGUCAAUUCCUUCCAGAAUAAUUGGCUGACUGCGAUCGCUGGCGUUUGUGCUAUUCUGGUACUUUGUGAAUUUCGAGAAGUUCUUCUGUUCAGUCACCCAUCUCUACUGGAAGGUCAAAGCAUUGUCUGCCUCACAGCAGCCAUCAUAGACCCAACAGCGCUCAGGCAGGCUUUUAAGAUGAGGGGAGGUCUCUCUAAUCACCAUGCCACCCUGACACCCACAUGAACCUCCAAACUCUAUUCCAUCUAUUUUAUGAAGUGCACCGGUGUGAACAGAUGAAUGUGUCACCUUUAAGCAUCUGGAACCAGGCUGCUGCAGCAGCUCCACAAUUCUCUUCCUGAUAUCUUGGAUGAUUUCUUUCGACUUUCCCAGGUGAGAUCUUAAAAUACAUCCACACAUAACUCAAAGGGCCAGAGAAUCUAUCAGAAGUUGCCAAAGUCAUGAUAUAAUCGUCUGGUCUUUCCCUCAUUAUCUAGAGAGACCUUAAAUCUCUGAAAUAUUAGUUUUCUCAUUAUUGUGGCUUUUAUCAUAUAGAAGUAAUCUUGGUUA